Molecule: ribosomal RNA, 497 nt
Filed under: uncultured bacterium
Lineage: Bacteria
Description: partial 16S ribosomal RNA
Rfam family: Bacterial small subunit ribosomal RNA
Source: RNAcentral
GAUGAACGCUGGCGGCGUGCCUAAUACAUGCAAGUCGAGCGAACGGACGAGAAGCUUGCUUUUCUGAUGUUAGCGGCGGACGGGUGAGUAACACGUGGAUAACCUACCUAUAAGACUGGGAUAACUUCGGGAAACCGGAGCUAAUACCGGAUAAUAUUUUGAACCGCAUGGUUCAAAAGUGAAAGACGGUUUUGCUGUCACUUAUAGAUGGAUCCGCGCUGCAUUAGCUAGUUGGUAAGGUAACGGCUUACCAAGGCAACGAUGCUUAGCCGACCUGAGAGGGUGAUCGGCCACACUGGAACUGAGACACGGUCCAGACUCCUACGGGAGGCAGCAGUAGGGAAUCUUCCGCAAUGGGCGAAAGCCUGACGGAGCAACGCCGCGUGAGUGAUGAAGGUCUUCGGAUCGUAAAACUCUGUUAUUAGGGAAGAACAUAUGUGUAAGUAACUGUGCACAUCUUGACGGUACCUAAUCAGAAAGCCACGGCUAACUACGUG